CCUAGUCUUAUCGGUGGAUCACUCGGCUCGUGGAUCGAUGAAGAACGCAGCCAACUGCGAUAAUUAGUGUGAACUGCAGAAACCUUGAACACAGAACUUUCGAAUGCACAUUGCGCCAUUGGAGUGACAUCCAUUGGCACGCCUGGUUCAGGGUCGUAAC
RNAcentral lists this ribosomal RNA (160 nucleotides) under Globodera mexicana. Its description in RNAcentral is "5.8S ribosomal RNA". It matches the Rfam family "5.8S ribosomal RNA". From Rfam's summary of the family: 5.8S ribosomal RNA (5.8S rRNA) is a component of the large subunit of the eukaryotic ribosome. It is transcribed by RNA polymerase I as part of the 45S precursor that also contains 18S and 28S rRNA. The record is from RNAcentral. Lineage: Eukaryota; Metazoa; Nematoda; Chromadorea; Rhabditida; Heteroderidae.